This is a non-coding RNA of Pantherophis guttatus, 291 nucleotides long. The record is from RefSeq and is a predicted model, not a curated record. NCBI's taxonomy places the organism in Eukaryota, Metazoa, Chordata, Lepidosauria, Squamata, Colubridae.
CUAAGCUCUGGUCUCCACCCUCCCUACAGCAAACUGGGUACCAUGCAGAAGUCUUUGUGCCAGGAGAGAUGCAUUGUUUGCAGGAUCCAAGGCUGCUGCAGCUAAGCCCCCUCCAGUCAUUGUUAAAGACCUUUGUCCUUGACCAUAAAUCAAUGAAGAAGUAAUCAAGAAGCAAUGAAACCCUGAAAAAAAAACAGAGAGAAAGAAGGAAAUUCAAGAUUUUUGGCUUCUGUAGAUACAUCAGGAGGUCCAGGUCAUGUGACUUCACAUAAACACAGCUAGAUUUUCUCA